RNAcentral lists this ribosomal RNA (460 nucleotides) under uncultured bacterium. RNAcentral describes it as "partial 16S ribosomal RNA". It matches the Rfam family "Bacterial small subunit ribosomal RNA", at positions 338 to 795 of the family's 1533-position model. The record is from RNAcentral.
CCUACGGGAGGCAGCAGUGAGGAAUAUUGGUCAAUGGACGAGAGUCUGAACCAGCCAAGUAGCGUGAAGGAUGACUGCCCUAUGGGUUGUAAACUUCUUUUAUAAAGGAAUAAAACGAGGCACGUGUGCCUUUUUGCAUGUACUUUAUGAAUAAGGAUCGGCUAACUCCGUGCCAGCAGCCGCGGUAAUACGGAGGAUCCGAGCGUUAUCCGGAUUUAUUUGGUUUAAAGGGAGCGUAGAUGGGUUGUUAAGUCAGUUGUGAAAGUUUGCGGCUCAAACGUAAACUUGCAAUUGAUACUGGCAGUCUUGAGUACAGUUGAGGUAGGCGGAAUUCGUGGUGUAGCGGUGAAAUGCUUAGAUAUCACGAAGAACCCCGAUUGCGAAGGCAGCUUACUAAACUGUGACUGACAUUGAUGCUCGAAAGUGUGGGUAUCAAACAGGAUUAGAUACCCUUGUAGUC